GCCUUAGUGGUGUAGUGGUAGUACGCUCGACGCGUACCCGAGAGGUCCGUGGUUCGAGUCCCGGCGACGGCA
RNAcentral lists this transfer RNA (72 nucleotides) under Stegodyphus mimosarum. It matches the Rfam family "tRNA". Rfam says of the family: Transfer RNA (tRNA) molecules are approximately 80 nucleotides in length. Their secondary structure includes four short double-helical elements and three loops (D, anti-codon, and T loops). The record is from Rfam by way of RNAcentral. Lineage: Eukaryota; Metazoa; Arthropoda; Arachnida; Araneae; Eresidae.